This 253-nucleotide ribosomal RNA is filed under the name uncultured bacterium. RNAcentral describes it as "partial 16S ribosomal RNA". It matches the Rfam family "Bacterial small subunit ribosomal RNA", at positions 524 to 776 of the family's 1533-position model. The record is from RNAcentral.
UACGAAGGGGGCUAGCGUUGUUCGGAAUUACUGGGCGUAAAGCGCGCGCAGGCGGCUAUCCAAGUCAGUGGUGAAAGCCCGGAGCUCAACUCCGGAACUGCCAUUGAAACUGUUUAGCUUGAGGAUGAGAGAGGUGAGUGGAAUUCCCAGUGUAGAGGUGAAAUUCGUAGAUAUUGGGAGGAACACCAGUGGCGAAGGCGGCUCACUGGACCGGAACUGACGCUGAGGCGCGAAAGCGUGGGGAGCAAACGGG